RNAcentral lists this ribosomal RNA (273 nucleotides) under uncultured bacterium. Its description in RNAcentral is "partial 16S ribosomal RNA". It matches the Rfam family "Bacterial small subunit ribosomal RNA", at positions 524 to 796 of the family's 1533-position model. The record is from RNAcentral.
UACGUAGGGGGCUAGCGUUGUCCGGAUUUAUUGGGCGUAAAGAGCUCGUAGGCGGCCAUCCGCGUCGGAUCUGAAAGCUCGAGGCUCAACCUUGAGAGGCGAUUCGAUACGGGAUGGCUAGAGGUAGCUAGGGGAGAGUGGAAUUCCUGGUGUAGCGGUGAAAUGCGCAGAUAUCAGGAGGAACACCGGUGGCGAAGGCGGCUCUCUGGGGCUUACCUGACGCUGAGGAGCGAAAGCUGGGGGAGCGAACAGGAUUAGAAACCCCCGUAGUCC